This 1405-nucleotide ribosomal RNA is filed under the name metagenome. RNAcentral describes it as "bacterial SSU rRNA". It matches the Rfam family "Bacterial small subunit ribosomal RNA". The record is from RNAcentral.
UCGAACGGGUGAGUAAUGUAUCGGAACGUACCUUUCAGUGGGGGAUAACGUAGCGAAAGUUACGCUAAUACCGCAUAUUCUGUGAGCAGGAAAGCAGGGGAUCGCAAGACCUUGCGCUGAUUGAGCGGCCGAUAUCAGAUUAGCUAGUUGGUGAGGUAAAGGCUCACCAAGGCGACGAUCUGUAGCGGGUCUGAGAGGAUGAUCCGCCACACUGGAACUGAGACACGGUCCAGACUCCUACGGGAGGCAGCAGUGGGGAAUUUUGGACAAUGGGGGCAACCCUGAUCCAGCCAUGCCGCGUGAGUGAAGAAGGCCUUCGGGUUGUAAAGCUCUUUCGGCCGGGAAGAAAUCGUAUGGGCUAAUACCCUGUGCGGAUGACGGUACCGGCAUAAGAAGCACCGGCUAACUACGUGCCAGCAGCCGCGGUAAUACGUAGGGUGCGAGCGUUAAUCGGAAUUACUGGGCGUAAAGCGUGCGCAGGCGGUUUUGUAAGACAGGCGUGAAAUCCCCGGGCUCAACCUGGGAACUGCGCUUGUGACUGCAAGGCUAGAGUAUGGCAGAGGGGGGUGGAAUUCCACGUGUAGCAGUGAAAUGCGUAGAGAUGUGGAGGAACACCAAUGGCGAAGGCAGCCCCCUGGGCCAAUACUGACGCUCAUGCACGAAAGCGUGGGUAGCAAACAGGAUUAGAUACCCUGGUAGUCCACGCCCUAAACGAUGUCAACUAGGUGUUGGGUGGGUAAAACCAUUUAGUACCGGAGCUAACGCGUGAAGUUGACCGCCUGGGGAGUACGGCCGCAAGGUUAAAACUCAAAGGAAUUGACGGGGACCCGCACAAGCGGUGGAUGAUGUGGAUUAAUUCGAUGCAACGCGAAAAACCUUACCUACCCUUGACAUGUCCAGGAGCCUGAAGAGAUUUGGGUGUGCCCGAAAGGGAACUGGAACACAGGUGCUGCAUGGCUGUCGUCAGCUCGUGUCGUGAGAUGUUGGGUUAAGUCCCGCAACGAGCGCAACCCUUGUCGUUAAUUGCCAUCAUUUAGUUGGGCACUUUAACGAGACUGCCGGUGACAAACCGGAGGAAGGUGGGGAUGACGUCAAGUCCUCAUGGCCCUUAUGGGUAGGGCUUCACACGUCAUACAAUGGUCGGUACAAAGGGUUGCCAACCCGCGAGGGGGAGCCAAUCCCAGAAAGCCGAUCGUAGUCCGGAUUGCAGGCUGCAACUCGCCUGCAUGAAGUCGGAAUCGCUAGUAAUCGUGGAUCAGCAUGUCACGGUGAAUACGUUCCCGGGUCUUGUACACACCGCCCGUCACACCAUGGGAGCGGGUUCCGCCAGAAGUAGGUAGCCUAACCGCAAGGGGGGCGCUUACCACGGCGGGGUUCGUGACUGGGGUGAAGUCGAAACAAGGUA